RNAcentral lists this ribosomal RNA (253 nucleotides) under uncultured prokaryote. RNAcentral describes it as "partial 16S ribosomal RNA". It matches the Rfam family "Bacterial small subunit ribosomal RNA", at positions 525 to 777 of the family's 1533-position model. The record is from RNAcentral.
ACAGAGGGUGCAAGCGUUAAUCGGAAUUACUGGGCGUAAAGCGUGCGUAGACGGUUGCGUAAGUCGGAUGUGAAAUCCCCAGGCUCAACUUGGGAACUGCAUCCGAUACUGGAUGGCUUGAAUCCGGGAGAGGGAUGCGGAAUUCCAGGUGUAGCGGUGAAAUGCGUAGAUAUCUGGAGGAACACCGGUGGCGAAGGCGGCAUCCUGGACCGGCAUUGACGCUGAGGAGCGAAAGCCAGGGGAGCAAACGGGA